Molecule: ribosomal RNA, 253 nt
Filed under: uncultured bacterium
Lineage: Bacteria
Description: partial 16S ribosomal RNA
Rfam family: Bacterial small subunit ribosomal RNA
Source: RNAcentral
UACGUAGGGUGCAAGCGUUAAUCGGAAUUACUGGGCGUAAAGCGUGCGCAGGCGGUUCUAUAAGACAGAUGUGAAAUCCCCGGGCUCAACCUGAGAACUGCAUUUGUGACUGUAGAGCUGGAGUGCGGCAGAGGGGGAUGGAAUUCCGCGUGUAGCAGUGAAAUGCGUAGAUAUGCGGAGGAACACCGAUGGCGAAGGCAGCCCCCUGGGCUGACACUGACGCUCAGGCACGAAAGCGUGGGGAGCAAACAGG